UGGUCUAGUGGUUAGGAUUCGGCGC
This 25-nucleotide non-coding RNA is filed under the name Xenopus tropicalis (tropical clawed frog). Lineage: Eukaryota; Metazoa; Chordata; Amphibia; Anura; Pipidae. The record is from RNAcentral. RNAcentral also lists the same sequence under 5 other names.